RNAcentral lists this long non-coding RNA (3570 nucleotides) under Triticum aestivum (bread wheat). RNAcentral's name for it is "long non-coding RNA (TAES_LNC026646)". The record is from RNAcentral. Lineage: Eukaryota; Viridiplantae; Streptophyta; Magnoliopsida; Poales; Poaceae.
GGUGGGAAAAUAACGAACUGUGGUAACCAAAUUAAACAGCUGAGAUGGUAAAAUUAGGGAAGGAUUAGCGGUCCAGUGUUUCGGUAAUUUUUUCCAGAGUGGUUGAAUUGGUCGAACAAACUUCAUAUCAAACUACCUCAGCUAAUCGCCCCAUGUAUUCUGAUGUACAUGCAUGUUUAAGGCGAACAAUUUAUCAGGUGUGGUGUUAUGAUGGUUCUGGUGGGUGGUUGCAGCUAUGAGGCCGAGCUAAUCGAGUUGUGUGAGACCCCUCCUGCGUCCCCAAGAUCGUGGUUCAUACUUUUUUUUUUGGAUGUGUUAAAUGGCCGCUGACAAGCAGAAUUCUUUGUUUUUGCAGCUAUGCACGACAAGAUUUUUCGCGUCAUAAGUCCUCGUGAUGAGGGUCUGUAGUACAUAGGUUGGGCAGGUUGAUGGAUUGAAAAGGUAAAUAGAUCUCUUCUUGUGAUUGAUUUCUUUAUGCUUUUGUUUGGAGGGUUUAAGAGGUGAGCGAGGUUUGUGAUUUUUUUUCCAGUGUGCUCGAUCUUGAUUUCGGACACGAUCAUGCCUUUAUAAGCCUUGUGUUGUGUGUUCAUGCAACUAAUUAUAUGCUUAUAUUCGUUAGCUAUGGAACUCUUCGUACUCAUUGGCAGUUUCGUUAGUUCUGAAGUUUGAUAGAAAAUUGAUUGCAACUGCAGUGGUUAGCGAAUGAAUUUUUUGGUACUUGUUGACCAUUUAGUUAGAGAUGAUUCAACAAUAUAUGAUGUUCAGAAAUUACACAGAUCACUAGAACCUGUAGUUUUCGGCUAAAAAGAGCUCGGGCUUGAUGUUUGAUUUGAUAUAACUUUUUUGUUGCUUUGCAGCCCAGUACAUUUUUGAAUUCUGUACACGUGGAUUAUCCAUUUUUGCUUAUUAUUUUUAUACAUUGUCAUCUUAUCGAAACUUUAUUUUAUUAUCUUCCAUCAUACUAACUCCAUUCAUAGUAUUUAUUUCCAUCAGAAAAUAACUUCAUUAUGUGUUUGCUCAAAAUUUAUAAAGAAAAAAAGCAUAUGAUACGCUGGCCUUGCGGAACAUUCAUGUAUUAGGCUUGUCUUAAUAAUACCGCCUGCUCAUUGUUAAUGUAUAUGUGCCACCCAAUGGUUGCUCCUGCCUAAUUAUAUGGAUGAUGGCAGUAGACAUGCUUGUUCUAUGGGUUACGUGCUUGUUAUUUUUAUGCAUCUUCUCAUCGUUCAUUUUUCUUCGUUGUAGCCCACUGAUUUCGUCUAUAACACGCUGGUAGGUGUUUCGCUCAACUGGAUUGUAGGUCGCUUUCCGUGCUCUCGUCGCCUUGUCUGCUGAGUACUUUUUGACUAUCCGUACUUACCAGGGUUUUUGCUUGCUCACUUGAACCCCCUAUUACUCCCAAUCUUUCUGUUUCAGUUUUGCUUCUUGAUUUAUUUCCCUGCUUGCAUAUAUAUCAUCUAUCUCACUUCACACUACUCACUCUUUGUUGGGCCUACUUCAGUUUUGCAUGUUUGAAUAUUUGUAGUUUGGUCAUGUGUAUCACAUAUCUUUCAGCAUUUGAGUUUCACAGUUUUCAAAAUUUUGCUGGCCACGUGUAUCACUGAUGACACUUAUACAAGUGCUUAUUUUGAUUUUAUUUGUUUGGUAUGUUUUACUGGUGACAUAUAUUUCACAUAUCUCACUCAGUUUAGUGCCUGCCACAUAAUUACUAUUUGUGAUUUUGGAUUGUACUAGCUUUGAUUUGGCUGAUUUCAAGUGAGGAACAUGAGUGGGCUGAUGUAUUAGGCAUGACCAUGGGAAGGCGGUGUUUUCUAUGGUAGAAUUAGUAUGGUGGUAUAAUUCACUGCAUGGUUGGUAGGUUCACUGAUGCAUUUUGUUUAUAGAUGCCUUGACUUCUUGGCCGUCGUGCGUAGCUGCGCGUCGCCGCGGGCGAGUCUCGGCUCGCCUUGCUCUGUUCCACUGUGGCAAUAUUUCCAACUUAUUACAUGAAUGGCUCUAAAAUAACAAGCUUUCGACAUCCUAUGCUUUUUCUAGAAGCUGUUGGUUCUUACUCAAACAUAAAUGCUUCCACGAUAGUGUGGCAUAUUCUCUGACUUCAUUCCUGUGUGUUCUGGAAGAGGAAAAACAAUUCUGUUUGUAUCCCGCCGUGUUCUGGAAGAGGAAUAAGAAUUCCAACACUGGUAGCUAUGUUAGUGUGAUAUGGAGAUGGUUUAUUCCAUGGAAGAGUAGUCACAACUUUUUGUGAAGAUAAUUCCUGAGACUCAAGACAUUGGUCAUGUUUAAGCUUUAGGUGCUUGGAGAUUAUUUGCUGACAUAUCUACUAUUGUUUCCUUCUAACUAUCUGCUGCUAUUUCUCAAUCUAUCGUUCUAAUAUAUCUACCAAAAAGGAUUUGAGAACGCUUGCUUAUUUAGUAAGAAUAUCCUCUUUCUUUGACUGGAGCUUUUUUAGUUCAUGGUUGAUGUCAUUUCAUAUUAUUAGGUGGUUGUCGAUAGUGUCUGUUAAGAUGGAAACAUUUUGCCACCAGGUAGCGUGGUGGUGUAGUCAAUUUUGUAUCUGAUUAUGAUCUUAUUUUUCAGGGUUAUAGUGCAAGGAAACCACACAACCAAAUGAUUGUUCCAAAAAAUUCAAAUUUCCCUUCGCACAUGUACAAGAGCAUCAUAGGUUGUUUAGUCUUGGAGUUCCAAAAAACUGGUUGACUUGUGUACUACAGAGGUAAUGGAACACCUACUUUCACCUAUGUGGGUUUAAUGAUAGAUAACUGUUGCAAUAGAUGGAGCACCUACUUUCACCUAUAUGGGUUUAAUUAUAGAUAAUUGCUACAGUAGUUUGCCAUGUUUGACAUUGCAUAAAUAUGCUUGGAAUAUCAUAUAUCAGGUAAACCUUGAAAACAAGAGAAAUGGUGGUAUUCUCUACACUAGGUUUCAGUUUACUGAAAAUCCACUCUUCAUUUACUGAGUUUUAUGUUUGUUCUUGCUAUCUGCCAGCUCCAUGAUACAAUGGUUUGGAAAAUUUGUAUCGAAUGAUGAUGAUCCAUAAAGCCCUAGGCUGUUCUUUUGCUCACGAGUGAGUUUACUACUUUCUGGUUGCAUGCGCCAAGUCGCCGAGCAGACACUUUUUUUGCAAACUGAUGUAGGAUUAGUUGUUGCAUUGCUUAGUUGGGCUCUGGAGCAGCGAGUACCUUAGUUGAUGCAAUAAUAGCUUCUUGAUGCAUAUAACAUUCUUGCUAUAAUCUGGCCUGAGUUCAAUGUUUUGCAAAAUUCUAUGUAAAUGCGACAAAAGAUCUAGCUUUCUUAUAUUUGGUACUAUGCUUUAGUUACAAUAAUGCACAAAUGGAUUUAUGGAUUAAAUGGAAACAUUGGAAGGAAGACAUCAUUAAAUGUACAGGCACUCUCUGUUCUUACAAAUCUAGCCUAGGUUUGAUACUGAUCUUUCAUCGCUUCAUGCUAAUCUUUUCGGUAUAACAAUACAUAUAUACCUAUUCAGUGAUUUGGUUCCUCUUUGCUGAACUUUUAUUCUUUCCUGCUCAUCUAUAUAGGUUAUGACACUAGUGCAGAACCAGGCUUUAGUGCCGG